CCCGAGCUGGUGUAAUGGUUAUCACGUCAAGGUCACCAGGGAAGUCUACAGCGCGGAACUGGCCCGAAAGGGCGGAAGAUCCGGAUUCGAGUCCUGGGUUCGGGA
Phialemonium atrogriseum is the source of this 105-nucleotide non-coding RNA. NCBI's taxonomy places the organism in Eukaryota, Fungi, Ascomycota, Sordariomycetes, Cephalothecales, Cephalothecaceae. The record is from the annotation of a RefSeq genome assembly.